GCGCAUCCUUAAUAAACCCCCCGGUUGCAUUUUGUGGUCUCUGGGACAAGAAAGGGUGCAAAAUCAAUCUUAGAAUUAUCCAAAGCUGAGAGUUUUGUCAGUAGCUCUUGGUUAUUUCACCUCUAAGACAAAA
RNAcentral lists this small nucleolar RNA (133 nucleotides) under Salarias fasciatus (jewelled blenny). RNAcentral's name for it is "Small nucleolar RNA SNORA14 (ENSSFAG00005024003.1)". It matches the Rfam family "Small nucleolar RNA SNORA14". From Rfam's summary of the family: ACA14 is a member of the H/ACA class of snoRNA that guide the sites of modification of uridines to pseudouridines. The record is from Rfam by way of RNAcentral. Lineage: Eukaryota; Metazoa; Chordata; Actinopteri; Blenniiformes; Blenniidae.